This 191-nucleotide non-coding RNA is filed under the name Collinsella sp. RNAcentral describes it as "FMN sequence". It matches the Rfam family "FMN riboswitch aptamer (RFN element)". Rfam says of the family: The RFN element is a highly conserved domain that is found frequently in the 5'-untranslated regions of prokaryotic mRNAs that encode for flavin mononucleotide (FMN) biosynthesis and transport proteins. This element is a metabolite-dependent riboswitch that directly binds FMN in the absence of proteins. The record is from RNAcentral. Lineage: Bacteria; Bacillati; Actinomycetota; Coriobacteriia; Coriobacteriales; Coriobacteriaceae.
UUGCUGUUUCAGGGCGGGGUGAAAUUCCCCACUGGCGGUAAAUUGGGCGGUGCCAAAGGGGUGCCGUGGCGCAGGCGAGGACCUGCGUCGAGCCGAUGAGUCCGCGACCCGUGCGUGCGUUGGUUCGCAUGCCGGCUGAACUGGUGAGACCCCAGUACCAACGGUUAGAGUCCGGAUGAAAGAGGCAGGUG